This 1134-nucleotide long non-coding RNA is filed under the name Triticum aestivum (bread wheat). Its description in RNAcentral is "long non-coding RNA (TAES_LNC028234)". The record is from RNAcentral. Lineage: Eukaryota; Viridiplantae; Streptophyta; Magnoliopsida; Poales; Poaceae.
GCCGCCGGCGCCACAGGACCUCGCCACUAGACCUGGCCUCUUCGGAGCCCCACCAGUAACCCCCUUCUCACCUCCCGGCGGCGGUCCUCCGUCUCCCCGCACGCAGGAGAGACGACGUAUGGAAGCUGCGCACGCGGAGGCCACGGCACAGGUGAGGACGAGUCCCACCCCCUAAAAAAAGAUUAACCAAGAGCCCGUUGGUGAUGUCACUGGGCUCGCUCCUUUCCUCCUCUCUCAUUUUAUUUCUUCAUUCGCCUGCCUCUUCAGCUUCGCUUCCCCAAUUCUCCACCCAUUCCUACGGUUCAAUCCUUGCCCUGCUCAGUGACCGCAGCGACCAGGGCACCACCACGGCCAACAGCGGGCAGUGGCUCGCCGGGAUCGAGAGCAGGAUGGGCGGGUUGGCGUCCAAUCGGGCCAGGGUUGGAGCCGGUGCAUGGCCGAGCUCCCAUUACCGUGGUGCAUGCAUACCUCACAUCGUUCACAUCACCCUGGUGCCACGUAGCCAUGGUCGACACAGGGAAAUGCCGAGAUCUGCAUGUGUGUGAAGCACCAAAUGAUAUGUACGUUCUAAACUACAGACAAUAACCUCAUCUCUGAAUAUUGUUGUUGUACACUGCCAAUAACAUACCGGACGAUGAAGAAACUACAGGUUAUACUUGAUGUAAGUAGAAACUACAGGCUGUACUUGAUGUUGUUCGAUAAAAGAACUCUUUUUGUGCAGUUAGAUACCUAUGUUCUGCAAGAAAGCAAUUAAAUAGUCAGUACUUUUUAAAAACUCUUUCACAUUGUCUCUAUGAUGAUACAGUCAAUAAUCAAAGCUACGAAGGGCAUAAAAAAGUAUUCAAGUUUGUCUUUUGCGGGGAUGAAAAUGAUUCAGGUUAGCUAGCUUAGCUUGGUGGACCAACUAUACACACACGGCCUUGAUGCAAUAAAGGCAGGUAAUUUUGAAAUCGUUACCUCGACAACUUCUAUUUGUAAAUAACUAUAGUGAUUAUCUUUUCACAAAAUGUGAUGCGACUCAAAGCAUACAUAUAUCAUACUAAGCUAAGCAUGACAAACCUUGAAGAAAAUCCAUGACAGUGUGUGUCUUAUCUACCAUUUAAGGCUAAGCAAUUAAUUUAGUCUGUAUUCUAU